Molecule: ribosomal RNA, 418 nt
Filed under: Microbacterium arborescens
Lineage: Bacteria; Bacillati; Actinomycetota; Actinomycetes; Micrococcales; Microbacteriaceae
Description: bacterial SSU rRNA
Rfam family: Bacterial small subunit ribosomal RNA
Source: RNAcentral
GCCCAGACUCCUACGGGAGGCAGCAGUGGGGAAUAUUGCACAAUGGGCGAAAGCCUGAUGCAGCAACGCCGCGUGAGGGAUGACGGCCUUCGGGUUGUAAACCUCUUUUAGCAGGGAAGAAGCGAAAGUGACGGUACCUGCAGAAAAAGCGCCGGCUAACUACGUGCCAGCAGCCGCGGUAAUACGUAGGGCGCAAGCGUUAUCCGGAAUUAUUGGGCGUAAAGAGCUCGUAGGCGGUCUGUCGCGUCUGCUGUGAAAACCCGAGGCUCAACCUCGGGCCUGCAGUGGGUACGGGCAGACUAGAGUGCGGUAGGGGAGAUUGGAAUUCCUGGUGUAGCGGUGGAAUGCGCAGAUAUCAGGAGGAACACCGAUGGCGAAGGCAGAUCUCUGGGCCGUAACUGACGCUGAGGAGCGAAAG